This 775-nucleotide ribosomal RNA is filed under the name uncultured Neocallimastigales. RNAcentral's name for it is "partial large subunit ribosomal RNA". It matches the Rfam family "Eukaryotic large subunit ribosomal RNA", at positions 23 to 631 of the family's 3401-position model. The record is from RNAcentral. Lineage: Eukaryota; Fungi; Neocallimastigomycota; Neocallimastigomycetes; Neocallimastigales.
ACACGCAUGACACACUGCAUAUCAAUAAGCGGAGGAAAAGAAACUAACUAAGGAUUCCCUUAGUAACGGCGAGUGAAGCGGGAAGAGCUCAAAUUUGAAAUCUUCAAGGUUCUACCUUGACGAAUUGUAGUUUAAAGAAGUGUUUUCUGUUGAAGUUUUGGUAAAAGUUCUUUGGAAUAGGACAUCAUAGAGGGUGAGAAUCCCGUAUUUGACCAUUAUUUUCAGCUGUGUGAUACACUUUCAAAGAGUCGGAUUGUUUGGGAAUGCAGUCCAAAAUGGGUGGUAAAUUUCAUCUAAAGCUAAAUAUUGGCGAGAGACCGAUAGCGAACAAGUACCGUGAGGGAAAGAUGAAAAGAACUUUGAAAAGAGAGUUAAACAGUACGUGAAAUUGUCAAAAGGGAAGCGUUUGACACCAGUGUUGUUUUCUCGAAAAUCAAUUAAAAAAGGCCGGAUUUUGUGUUGUAUUGACCUUAAAAGCUUUCUUCACUCUUUUCUUGUCUUUUUUAAUGCACUUUUCGUUUAACAAGUCAACAUCAGUUUCUUUUGUUGUAAAAGGGUCAUUGGAAGGUGGCUUUCUUUUCGGAGAAAGUGUUUAUAGCCUUUGAUCUCUGCAACCGGAGAGACUGAGGUCUGCAGCGUAGACUCUUCGGGGUUAGAUACAUUUGUGCUAAGCUAUAGCUUUUUAUAGACAACUUGUUGACUAUAUUUAGUCUUGUGGCUUACUCGCUUAUGCUAUUUUACCUACGCUUAGGAUGUUGAUCUACAGAGCGAGAGU